CUGCUGCGGGCAGAUCCAGUGAAUAUGCGUAUCCACGCCGCCCGCGGUGACGAUCUUCCCUUCAGCGGCGAUCACCUCCGUCGCUACCCCAAUCGGGAUCGUCACAUCAGGCUGAAUAUCCGGAUUACCGGCUUUGCCGAUCGCAAAGAUCCGACCGUCUUUAACGCCGAUAUCCGCUUUGACGAUCCCCCAGUGAUCGAUAAUCAGCGCGUUGGUCAGCACCAGAUCCACACACUCGCUGGCGGGCAUUUGUCCCUGACCCAUGCCGUCGCG
This 273-nucleotide small RNA is filed under the name uncultured Superficieibacter sp. Its description in RNAcentral is "5' ureB small RNA". It matches the Rfam family "5' ureB small RNA". The record is from RNAcentral. Lineage: Bacteria; Pseudomonadati; Pseudomonadota; Gammaproteobacteria; Enterobacterales; Enterobacteriaceae.